GACGAACGCUGGCGGCGUGCUUAACACAUGCAAGUCGAACGGAAAGGCCCUGCUUUUGUGGGGUGCUCGAGUGGCGAACGGGUGAGUAACACGUGAGUAACCUGCCCUUGACUUUGGGAUAACUUCAGGAAACUGGGGCUAAUACCGGAUAGGAGCUCCUGCUGCAUGGUGGGGGUUGGAAAGUUUCGGCGGUUGGGGAUGGACUCGCGGCUUAUCAGCUUGUUGGUGGGGUAGUGGCUUACCAAGGCUUUGACGGGUAGCCGGCCUGAGAGGGUGACCGGCCACAUGGGGAUGGGAAUGCGCCCCGGACCCGACCGGGAGGGGACGGGGGGGAAUUUAGUAAAAGGGGCGGAGCCCUGGCCCAGACCCGCCGCGGGGGGGAAGAGGGCCUGGGGUUAGUAACCCCUUUCCCCUUGUCCCGAGGCGGGAGUGACGGUACUGGGAAAAGAAGCCCCGGCUAACUCCGUG
Molecule: ribosomal RNA, 468 nt
Filed under: uncultured bacterium
Lineage: Bacteria
Description: partial 16S ribosomal RNA
Rfam family: Bacterial small subunit ribosomal RNA
Source: RNAcentral